UACAGAGGGGGCAAGCGUUGUUCGGAAUUACUGGGCGUAAAGGGCGCGUAGGCGGCCCACUAAGUCGAACGUGAAAUCCCCGGGCUCAACCCGGGAACUGCGUCCGAUACUGGUGGGCUUGAAUCCGGGAGAGGGAUGCGGAAUUCCAGGUGUAGCGGUGAAAUGCGUAGAUAUCUGGAGGAACACCGGUGGCGAAGGCGGGUCUCUGGGCAACAACUGACGCUGAGGCGCGAAAGCUAGGGGAGCGAACAGG
RNAcentral lists this ribosomal RNA (253 nucleotides) under uncultured bacterium. RNAcentral's name for it is "partial 16S ribosomal RNA". It matches the Rfam family "Bacterial small subunit ribosomal RNA", at positions 524 to 776 of the family's 1533-position model. The record is from RNAcentral.